ACCUCAGUGGCGUAGUGGUCAAGGCACUCGCCUGGUAAACAGGAGGGCGUGGGUUCGCUCCCAGCCGAGGUA
Molecule: transfer RNA, 72 nt
Filed under: Diaphorina citri (Asian citrus psyllid)
Lineage: Eukaryota; Metazoa; Arthropoda; Insecta; Hemiptera; Psyllidae
Rfam family: tRNA
About the family: Transfer RNA (tRNA) molecules are approximately 80 nucleotides in length.
Source: Rfam by way of RNAcentral